UACGAAGGGGGCUAGCGUUGUUCGGAAUUACUGGGCGUAAAGCGUGCGCAGGCGGCCAUCCAAGUCAGUGGUGAAAGCCCGGAGCUCAACUCCGGAAUUGCCAUUGAAACUGUUUGGCUCGAGUACGAGAGAGGUGAGUGGAAUUCCCAGUGUAGAGGUGAAAUUCGUAGAUAUUGGGAAGAACACCAGUGGCGAAGGCGGCUCACUGGACUGGUAUUGACGCUGAGGUGCGAAAGCGUGGGGAGCAAACAGG
RNAcentral lists this ribosomal RNA (253 nucleotides) under uncultured bacterium. Its description in RNAcentral is "partial 16S ribosomal RNA". It matches the Rfam family "Bacterial small subunit ribosomal RNA", at positions 524 to 776 of the family's 1533-position model. The record is from RNAcentral.